UUUGAGAAGAUAAUUAAGAAGGAGAUUUUAAUGCAUGUUGAACACCAUCUUGACCCCUUCCAGUUUGCCUAUAGAGCAGGGAGAGGUGUGGAGGAUGCUGCUGUCACACUCCUGCAUCUCUUGUAUAAGCAUCUUGAGGCCCCCCACACCCACGCAAGAUUAUUAUUUGCUGACUUUUCAUCGGCAUUCAAUACAAUUCAACCCCUCUUAUUUGCUGACAGGCUCUACAAUCAUUUCAAGCUUGACACUAGUCUGGUCCGCUGGGUGACAGACUUUCUGACUAAUAGGUCACAAUGUGUGAGGGUGAAUCAUGUGUUUUCUGAUGUGCUCUCCUCCUCUACUGCAUCACCCCAGGGUUGCUGCCUCUCUCCCCUUCUGUUCUUUCUGUACACAAAUGAGUGUUGCAGCAAUUUCACGAACAGACACAUCCUGAAGUUUGGUGAUGACACAGUGAUCGUCAGUCUUCUUGUGGGGGCGAGUCAGGCCAUGGACAGGUUGUAGAUGAUUUUGUGGAUUGGUGUGAUGAGUCCUUCCUGUCACUAAAUGUGUCAAAAACUAAAGACAUGAUUAUUGAUUUUAGGAAGUCCUCUUAUAGCUCAUCACCCACUAUCAUUAACCUUAACCCAAUUUCCCUCAGGAUGAAUAAAGUAUUAUCAAUCAAUCAUUAAAACUGCUGAUAUUGGGAUCGUUGAGAGUUAUAAAUAUCUAGGUGUGCUUGACCAUAAAGAAUCUCAUGCUGGCCACUACUAAAAAAGUUCAACAAAGACUGUUCUUUUUAAGGAAAAUGAGAUCUUUUAAUGUCUCAUCCGAGAUGUUGUCUUUGUUUUAUAGAUGUUUUAUCGAAUCUGUGAUGUCUUUUUGUAUCGCUGCCUGGUUUGGUAACCUGACGGUGAAGAAUAAGAAUCGAUUCGGUCUUCUGGUAAAAACUGCUAGCAAAAUUUCAGGGCGCUGGCAAGAUGGACUUUUGGCUAUUUACAAUAAAAAUGUGCUUAUAAAGGUUCAUUCUAUUGUUAAUUGUUUGAACCAUCCACUUCACAGUGAGUUUGAGCUGUUGCCUUUAGUUGCCGUCGUUUUAGAGUACCUGUGAGGAAGACCAAAAGACUCCAGGUAUCUUUUAUCCCUACUGCAUCCUGUCUCCUAAAUAGCAUAUAACCGUCUGGGGAUUUUCUAUUACUAUUAUUGUCGUUUUAUAUUAUUGUUUUGUUUACUUUUUUGUUUACCUUUAUCCGGCUGCUAAACUAAUUUCCCUUUUGGGAAAAUAAAGAAUUUGACAUGAACAGCAGAUUGAAGAUUGGUGUAGUGACCUGUCCUGUAUUUGCAUACAACAAAGGUGUCUCACCACCUAUCCCAAGACCCUCUUCUGGAGCUCUCUCUCCCGUUGUUUGAUGCAUGCUCAAUCAUCCAGGUAAGGGAAACGGAUAGGAACACAGCCGGACCAGCUGGCUGCAAAUCUCUGCAAUCUGCUGCUUACUGCUUAGGCUGCUGCCCCCACGACCCAGCCCAGAAUAAGCAGCAGAAAAUGGAUGGAUGGAAGUUUGUCAGACCAGCUGUGAUAUAAUCUGAUCGGGCUGGCCACCAGAUCUAUCCCUUAGCCGAGGUUCUUCUUCGAGUCGACCCCCUGACCUAUCCUUUACAGGCCUCAGGAUUGGGCCACUUCCAGAGAUGUUGUCCCAGGUGUUUGGAAAUAUUAGCCUCCCUGUGAAUCUGCAUUUGGGUCCUCAUUCACCCCCAACACGAUGAGUAAAAGAAACCCUACAGGCCUGAAGAUUUUUCAUUGAGGAGGGCGACCAGUGACCUUGUGAUCCAGAGUGAUGUCAUCCCAUGAGGACACAGAGCAUGUCUCAGUGUGGUGUGAAUGUAGUCCUGCAGGGCCUCACUGGCGUCCUCACUUCACCUCCUCCAAGACUUGGUGGCAAGACUGACACUAUGGCUCAGCAACUGUCAUUGUACCUAAAGAAAAUAAACUUCCUCAAAUAGCA
Long non-coding RNA from Astatotilapia calliptera (eastern happy), 1979 nucleotides. Lineage: Eukaryota; Metazoa; Chordata; Actinopteri; Cichliformes; Cichlidae. The record is from Ensembl.